Molecule: long non-coding RNA, 1216 nt
Organism: Mauremys reevesii (Reeves's turtle)
Lineage: Eukaryota; Metazoa; Chordata; Testudines; Geoemydidae
Exons: 3
Source: RefSeq, a predicted model, not a curated record
CAGAACCUCUAAGUGCUCAGAAUCUUGAAGGAUCAAGCCAGAAAUUAUUUUGCCAUUGUGGUAAAAGUGGAAUGGUGUUAAGGAAGCAUGAAAUUAAUCUAAAUUAUUUCAACUCUUCUCUGUUGAAAACUGAAGGCAACAACAACUAGGGAGAGCGUGAACCAGUGCAACAUCCCAGGCAAGAUUCUGCUCUCAGCUGCACUGUGAGAGAAGAUGGAGGAGGGAUAAGUCUAUGCUGUAGAGCAGCAGUUCCCAAAACCAUGGGAUGUGUACCCCAAGAGUAUGCAAGCCAUCUCUGGCAGGUACGCAGGAGAAAUUGCGUAAAGGCAUAUAACUGAAGGCAGAAGAAAUCAAACUUACUUUGUUCUCCAAAUCAAAUUCUAAGCAAUGGUGACUGCCAAAAGCUGUGAGAGAAGUAAGACCAGAUCCUCUGCUGGUGUAAAUUGGAGCAGCUCCAGGAAGGACCUGUGUGGUCCUUGAACUUUUCUGCAUACUAUUUUUUGCAGUGCAAUUCACGAUAGCAUGUUGACUUAAUUCAACAACUCACUUACUUCUCAGUAGUGGCCAGACCCAGACCCCGUACGCACUGAAGUCAAUGGGAGGUUUGCAAGUGACUUCAAUGGCCCCACGAUCAGGCCCGAGAAGAUAAGGAUACAUAACGAACACUUUAGUUAUGGAAGUAAUACACUUUUCUACAAGUAGUGCAAAGAGUGCUGCACACUAACCCUGAUUUUAAAAAAUAGAACACUAAAGAAAAACUUGAUUCAAAACCACUAUAACUAGUUCUAUCCAGAACACCAGGGGAGAAGCUUGAUCAAAUCUAUUUCAUUCUGACUCAAAGGAUGAAGUUCAAUUCCAUCAAGCAACAGCAUUUGCUAAGAUAAAUAUGGUCAUUUACCUUAAUUUUAGAUGUGUUUAAUUAUGCAUCUGCAUUUUUGACAAUGUAGUAAAAUAUACAGUAGUUAUCAGGAUAGUUAUCUGAUUCAAUGCCCACUGAAUAUCACCUGAUUUAAUGAAUGCAAAGUAAGAGGUUUUAAUUCAAAUAAAAGCUAUAGAAUAUCCUUUUAUCACACAUGUUUGCUCUUUCUAGCAGUGCAAAUACUUAGUUCUAGAUUGGACUUCUCUGCUAAACAAUGGGCUCUGAGAGCUUUUGUGUGUGAAUGGUUUCUUAGGAAAACCACUGCAAACUGUUGAUGGUGUGUCUCCAUCACAUAUG